RNAcentral lists this ribosomal RNA (257 nucleotides) under uncultured bacterium. RNAcentral describes it as "partial 16S ribosomal RNA". It matches the Rfam family "Bacterial small subunit ribosomal RNA", at positions 337 to 586 of the family's 1533-position model. The record is from RNAcentral.
UCCUACGGGAGGCAGCAGUAGGGAAUCUUCCACAAUGGACGAAAGUCUGAUGGAGCAACGCCGCGUGAGUGAAGAAGGGUUUCGGCUCGUAAAGCUCUGUUGGUAGGGAAGAAAGAUAGAGGUAGGAACUAGCCUUUAUUUGACGGUAAUUACUUAGAAAGUCACGGCUAAAUACGUGCCAGCAGCCGCGGUAAUACGUAGGUGGCAAGCGGUGUCCGGAUUUAUUGGGCGUAAAGCGAGUGCAGGCGGGUCAAAUA